AUACUUCCCUGUCAGAGAAAGAGUGAAGCCUAUUUAUGCUCUUGGGAUGUGCUGACCCAUGUGUUUCGCCAAAUUUGGGAGACUUGACGGCAUAAUUUGUCACAGUGGGGGGGGACUGCAUUUGAGCUUUCCUCUG
RNAcentral lists this small nuclear RNA (136 nucleotides) under Erinaceus europaeus (western European hedgehog). Its description in RNAcentral is "U1 spliceosomal RNA (ENSEEUG00000023174.1)". The record is from RNAcentral. Lineage: Eukaryota; Metazoa; Chordata; Mammalia; Eulipotyphla; Erinaceidae.